UGUUUCGGCUAGGGGGUCAUCCCGACUUACCAACCCGAUGCAAACUACGAAUACCGAAGAAUGUUAUCACGGGAGACACACGGCGGGUGCUAACGUCCGUCGUGAAGAGGGAAACAACCCAGACCGCCAGCUAAGGUCCCAAAGUCAUGGUUAAGUGGGAAACGAUGUGGGAAGGCACAGACAGCCAGGAUGUUGGCUUAGAAGCAGCCAUCAUUUAAAGAAAGCGUAAUAGCUCACUGGUCGAGUCGGCCUGCGCGGAAGAUGUAACGGGGCUAAACCAUGCACCGAAGCUGCGGCAGCGACACUAUGUGUUGUUGGGUAGGGGAGCGUUCUGUAAGCCUGCGAAGGUGUGCUGUGAGGCAUGCUGGAGGUAUCAGAAGUGCGAAUGCUGACAUAAGUAACGAUAAAGCGGGUGAAAAGCCCGCUCGCCGGAAGACCAAGGGUUCCUGUCCAACGUUAAUCGGGGCAGGGUGAGUCGACCCCUAAGACGAGGCCGAAAGGCGUAGUCGAUGGGAAACAGGUUAAUAUUCC
Molecule: ribosomal RNA, 531 nt
Filed under: Klebsiella pneumoniae
Lineage: Bacteria; Pseudomonadati; Pseudomonadota; Gammaproteobacteria; Enterobacterales; Enterobacteriaceae
Description: partial 23S ribosomal RNA
Rfam family: Bacterial large subunit ribosomal RNA
Source: RNAcentral